RNAcentral lists this ribosomal RNA (253 nucleotides) under uncultured bacterium. Its description in RNAcentral is "partial 16S ribosomal RNA". It matches the Rfam family "Bacterial small subunit ribosomal RNA", at positions 524 to 776 of the family's 1533-position model. The record is from RNAcentral.
UACGUAGGGACCAAGCGUUGUUCGGAUUUACUGGGCGUAAAGGGCGCGUAGGCGGCUUGACAAGUCACUUGUGAAAUCUCCGGGCUUAACUCGGAACGGCCAAGUGAAACUGUCAUGCUAGAGUGCAGAAGGGGCAAUCGGAAUUCUUGGUGUAGCGGUGAAAUGCGUAGAUAUCAAGAGGAACACCUGAGGUGAAGACGGGUUGCUGGGCUGACACUGACGCUGAGGCGCGAAAGCCAGGGGAGCGAACAGG